Molecule: ribosomal RNA, 459 nt
Filed under: uncultured bacterium
Lineage: Bacteria
Description: partial 16S ribosomal RNA
Rfam family: Bacterial small subunit ribosomal RNA
Source: RNAcentral
CCUACGGGGGGCAGCAGUGAGGAAUAUUGGUCAAUGGGCGAGAGCCUGAACCAGCCAAGUCGCGUGAGGGAGUACUGCCCUAUGGGUUGUAAACCUCUUUUGUCGGGGAGCAAAAGCCGGACGUGUCCGGCUGUGAGAGUACCCGAAGAAAAAGCAUCGGCUAACUCCGUGCCAGCAGCCGCGGUGAUACGUAGGGGGCAAGCGUUGUCCGGAUUUACUGGGUGUAAAGGGCGUGCAGCCGGAGAGACAAGUCAGAUGUGAAAUCCACGGGCUCAACCCGUGAACUGCAUUUGAAACUGUUUCCCUUGAGUGUCGGAGAGGUAAUCGGAAUUCCUUGUGUAGCGGUGAAAUGCGUAGAUAUAAGGAAGAACACCAGUGGCGAAGGCGGAUUACUGGACGAUAACUGACGGUGAGGCGCGAAAGCGUGGGGAGCAAACAGGAUUAGAUACCCCUGUAGUC